GGCUCAGAACGAACGCUGGCGGCAGGCCUAACACAUGCAAGUCGAGCGCGCCCUUCGGGGUGAGCGGCGGACGGGUUAGUAACGCGUGGGAACGUACCCUUUGGUAGGGAAUAGCCACUGGAAACGGUGAGUAAUACCCUAUGAGCCCUUCGGGGGAAAGAUUUAUCGCCAAAGGAUCGGCCCGCGUUAGAUUAGGUAGUUGGUGGGGUAAUGGCCUACCAAGCCUACGAUCUAUAGCUGGUUUUAGAGGAUGAUCAGCAACACUGGGACUGAGACACGGCCCAGACUCCUACGGGAGGCAGCAGUGGGGAAUCUUGGACAAUGGGGGCAACCCUGAUCCAGCCAUGCCGCGUGAGUGAAGAAGGCCUUAGGGUCGUAAAGCUCUUUCGCCUGUGAAGAUAAUGACGGUAGCAGGUAAAGAAACCCCGGCUAACUCCGUGCCAGCCGCCGC
This 451-nucleotide ribosomal RNA is filed under the name uncultured bacterium. RNAcentral describes it as "bacterial SSU rRNA". It matches the Rfam family "Bacterial small subunit ribosomal RNA", at positions 21 to 518 of the family's 1533-position model. The record is from RNAcentral.